GGUAUGGGAUGAGCUUGCGUCCGAUUAGCUAGUUGGCGGGGCAACGGCCCACCAAGGCGACGAUCGGUAGCCGGCCUGAGAGGGUGAUCGGCCACAUUGGGACUGAGAUACGGCCCAGACUCCUACGGGAGGCAGCAGUAGGGAAUAUUGCACAAUGGGGGAAACCCUGAUGCAGCAACGCCACGUGUGGGAAGAAGCAUUUCGGUGUGUAAACCACUGUCAUGAGGGAAUAAGGCCUGUCUUCGGGCAGGAUUGAAUGUACCUUGAGAGGAAGCACCGGCAAACUUCGUGCCAGCAGCCGCGGUAAUACGAGGGGUGCAAGCGUUGUUCGGAAUUACUGGGCGUAAAGGGAGCGUAGGCGGAGAUUCAAGCGGAUUGUACAAUCCCGGGGCCCAACCCCGGCUCUGCAGUCCGAACUGGAUCUCUUGGAUAGUUCAGGGGCAGGC
RNAcentral lists this ribosomal RNA (446 nucleotides) under uncultured bacterium. Its description in RNAcentral is "bacterial SSU rRNA". It matches the Rfam family "Bacterial small subunit ribosomal RNA", at positions 217 to 662 of the family's 1533-position model. The record is from RNAcentral.